AUAGCGUCCUGCACACCUCUGCAGCCCAGUCCAGUGAGUGAUGCUGUCGGGAUGGGGUGCAGAGGCUGGAGGGAAGUUGUUAAAAAGGUUUCACCAGAGGGCCGGUGAGUUACGGCCGCAGCCGAGGAUGGGGCAGAGGAGAAGAAGAAGAAGGACGGCCAUCAGUUUAUCUCUCCUGGGCCGGGGUCACGGGAGUCACGGGGCUAUCAUGCAUGUCAGGAGCUCCAGCCUUUAAUCACGGAGGAGGCACUCUCCUACUUUCUCUUCGGUCGCCUCAUUGCUUACCCCCCCAGAUCAACCGACCAAUCUGCCAGCUUCCUGUCCAAACGGCUGCUGAGUCAGCUAACGAAUGGGUGCCUGAAGAUUUGCCCGCUGGACCCUCUGUGAUUACACAAGUGCCACUGCCAGGCCUGCUGCCGCCACACUCAUGAGGACUAUCUUUCCUUGCGCACCAACACCUUUGGCCUCCAACGUAUGCACAACAGGGGAUGUUAGUUCCACGUCGAGUUCAACAGGGAGGGGACGCGAGUUGCAGCAAACAGGCCACGGCCCCUGUCUGCCCCCCCCCCCCUCAUCCUGCCUCUGAGAUCCACCUGUACAUCAGCCAGGGUUCAUGAAGCAUGACCAGAACAGGAGCCAGAGGGGACGGAGGAGGAACAUCACGAAGUACAAAGUGUCUCCGGCUCUGCUGCUGCACGCU
Long non-coding RNA from Sebastes umbrosus (honeycomb rockfish), 700 nucleotides. RefSeq lists it as uncharacterized. The transcript has 3 exons. The record is from RefSeq and is a predicted model, not a curated record. NCBI's taxonomy places the organism in Eukaryota, Metazoa, Chordata, Actinopteri, Perciformes, Sebastidae.